GUGCUCGCUUCCACAGCACAUGUACUAAAACCAAAAGUGUACAGAGAAGAUGAUCAUGGCCCUUUUGCAAGGAUGACAUGCAAAUUCAUGAAGUGUUCCAUAGAAAG
Molecule: small nuclear RNA, 107 nt
Organism: Nannospalax galili (Upper Galilee mountains blind mole rat)
Lineage: Eukaryota; Metazoa; Chordata; Mammalia; Rodentia; Spalacidae
Source: Ensembl